GCGGUUUGAAGGGUGUCUAACUUCAAAUCAACCAGAGUUCGACUCUUACCAUUGUCAUGUCUCCAUAUAUUUGACAUUUAUCAAGCGGGUUAGCCUAUUGGGCUAAUCAUGAGUUUAACCCAACAAUUCCGACUCUGAAAUGGUUCGGCGGUCUAAAGAUCGGGUCCGCAAAUGCGGGUUGGCGGUCCAAAGGUCGGGUCGACAGAUGCGGGUCGCGGUAGUCCAAAGGUCGGUUGGCGGGUGCGGUCGAAAAUAAGUCAUGUAAUGGCAACAAUAAAUAUGUUGCAACGAAAUACAAUUUUGUUCUUAAUGAUUAAUGUAUUGGCAACGAUUUAUGUGUUGCAACGACAUAAAUUCGUGGUUAUUAAUAAAUGUAUUGGCAACGAUAGAUUUGUGGCAACAAAAUAAAUUCGUUGGUAGUAAUCAAAGAAUUUGCAACGAUAAAUGUAUGGCAACAAAAUAGACUUGUUGUUAUUACUUAAUGCAUUGGCAACGAUCAAUAUGUAGCAACG
Molecule: long non-coding RNA, 512 nt
Filed under: Erythranthe guttata (spotted monkey flower)
Lineage: Eukaryota; Viridiplantae; Streptophyta; Magnoliopsida; Lamiales; Phrymaceae
Description: long non-coding RNA (EGUT_LNC001454)
Source: RNAcentral